GCGGCAGUGGCUCAGUGGUAGAGCCCCGCUUCGCGGGUGGGAGACCCGGGUUCGAUUCCAGGCUGCUUCC
Transfer RNA from Toxocara canis (dog roundworm), 70 nucleotides. It matches the Rfam family "tRNA". Rfam says of the family: Transfer RNA (tRNA) molecules are approximately 80 nucleotides in length. Their secondary structure includes four short double-helical elements and three loops (D, anti-codon, and T loops). Lineage: Eukaryota; Metazoa; Nematoda; Chromadorea; Rhabditida; Toxocaridae. The record is from Rfam.